Molecule: ribosomal RNA, 728 nt
Filed under: uncultured endophytic bacterium
Lineage: Bacteria
Description: bacterial SSU rRNA
Rfam family: Bacterial small subunit ribosomal RNA
Source: RNAcentral
AACAGGAUUAGAUACCCUGGUAGUCCACGCCCUAAACGAUGUCUACUAGUUGUCGGGUCUUAAUUGACUUGGUAACGCAGCUAACGCGUGAAGUAGACCGCCUGGGGAGUACGGUCGCAAGAUUAAAACUCAAAGGAAUUGACGGGGACCCGCACAAGCGGUGGAUGAUGUGGAUUAAUUCGAUGCAACGCGAAAAACCUUACCUACCCUUGACAUGUACAGAAUCCCGAAGAGAUUUGGGAGUGUUCGAAAGAAAACUGUAACACAGGUGCUGCAUGGCUGUCGUCAGCUCGUGUCGUGAGAUGUUGGGUUAAGUCCCGCAACGAGCGCAACCCUUGUCAUUAGUUGCUACGAAAGGGCACUCUAAUGAGACUGCCGGUGACAAACCGGAGGAAGGUGGGGAUGACGUCAAGUCCUCAUGGCCCUUAUGGGUAGGGCUUCACACGUCAUACAAUGGUACAUACAGAGGGCCGCCAACCCGCGAGGGGGAGCUAAUCCCAGAAAGUGUAUCGUAGUCCGGAUUGUAGUCUGCAACUCGACUACAUGAAGUUGGAAUCGCUAGUAAUCGCGGAUCAGCAUGUCGCGGUGAAUACGUUCCCGGGUCUUGUACACACCGCCCGUCACACCAUGGGAGCGGGUUCUACCAGAAGUAGGUAGCCUAACCGUAAGGAGGGCGCUUACCACGGUAGGAUUCGUGACUGGGGUGAAGUCGUAACAAGGUAGCCGUA